Molecule: ribosomal RNA, 837 nt
Filed under: Enterococcus durans
Lineage: Bacteria; Bacillati; Bacillota; Bacilli; Lactobacillales; Enterococcaceae
Description: bacterial SSU rRNA
Rfam family: Bacterial small subunit ribosomal RNA
Source: RNAcentral
UCUUUUUCCACCGAGCCUUGCUCCACCGGAAAAAGAUGAGUGGCGAACGGGUGAGUAACACGUGGGUAACCUGCCCAUCAGAAGGGGAUAACACUUGGAAACAGGUGCUAAUACCGUAUAACAAUCNAAACCGCAUGGUUUUGAUUUGAAAGGCGCUUUCGGGUGUCGCUGAUGGAUGGACCCGCGGUGCAUUAGCUAGUUGGUGAGGUAACGGCUCACCAAGGCCACGAUGCAUAGCCGACCUGAGAGGGUGAUCGGCCACAUUGGGACUGAGACACGGCCCAAACUCCUACGGGAGGCAGCAGUAGGGAAUCUUCGGCAAUGGACGAAAGUCUGACCGAGCAACGCCGCGUGAGUGAAGAAGGUUUUCGGAUCGUAAAACUCUGUUGUUAGAGAAGAACAAGGAUGAGAGUAACUGUUCAUCCCUUGACGGUAUCUAACCAGAAAGCCACGGCUAACUACGUGCCAGCAGCCGCGGUAAUACGUAGGUGGCAAGCGUUGUCCGGAUUUAUUGGGCGUAAAGCGAGCGCAGGCGGUUUCUUAAGUCUGAUGUGAAAGCCCCCGGCUCAACCGGGGAGGGUCAUUGGAAACUGGGAGACUUGAGUGCAGAAGAGGAGAGUGGAAUUCCAUGUGUAGCGGUGAAAUGCGUAGAUAUAUGGAGGAACACCAGUGGCGAAGGCGGCUCUCUGGUCUGUAACUGACGCUGAGGCUCGAAAGCGUGGGGAGCAAACAGGAUUAGAUACCCUGGUAGUCCACGCCGUAAACGAUGAGUGCUAAGUGUUGGAGGGUUUCCGCCCUUCAGUGCUGCAGCUAACGCAUUAAGCACUCCGCCUGGGG